RNAcentral lists this ribosomal RNA (497 nucleotides) under uncultured bacterium. RNAcentral's name for it is "partial 16S ribosomal RNA". It matches the Rfam family "Bacterial small subunit ribosomal RNA", at positions 899 to 1397 of the family's 1533-position model. The record is from RNAcentral.
ACUCAAAUGAAUUGACGGGGGCCCGCACAAGCGGCGGAGCAUGCGGCUUAAUUCGACGCAACGCGAAGAACCUUACCAAGGCUUGACAUGCAUCGAAAACUCGUGGAGACACGGGGUCCGUAAGGGCGGUGUACAGGUGGUGCAUGGCUGUCGUCAGCUCGUGUCGUGAGAUGUUGGGUUAAGUCCCGCAACGAGCGCAACCCUUGUCCUAUGUUGCCAGCGAGUCGUGUCGGGGACUCAUAGGAGACUGCCGGGGUCAACUCGGAGGAAGGUGGGGAUGACGUCAAGUCAUCAUGCCCCUUAUGUCUUGGGCUGCACGCAUGCUACAAUGGCCGGUACAAAGGGCUGCGAAACCGUGAGGUGGAGCGAAUCUCAAAAAGCCGGUCUCAGUUCGGAUUGGGGUCUGCAACUCGACCCCAUGAAGUCGGAGUCGCUAGUAAUCGCAGAUCAGCAACGCUGCGGUGAAUACGUUCCCGGGCCUUGUACACACCGCCCGU